Molecule: non-coding RNA, 113 nt
Organism: Acanthosepion pharaonis
Lineage: Eukaryota; Metazoa; Mollusca; Cephalopoda; Sepiida; Sepiidae
Source: the annotation of a GenBank genome assembly
UUACGGCUAUAUCAUGUUGAAACAUUGGUUCCCAUAUGAUCACCAAAGUUAAGUAACAUCAAGCCUGGUCAGUACCAAGAUGAGUGACUGCUUGGGAAUACCGAAUACUGUAA